AACGAACGCUGGCGGCAUGCCUAACACAUGCAAGUCGAACGAGCCCUUCGGGUCUAGUGGCGCACGGGUGCGUAACGCGUGGGAACCUGCCCUUAGGUUCGGAAUAACUCCCCGAAAGGGGUGCUAAUACCGGAUAAUGUCUUCGGACCAAAGAUUUAUCGCCUUUGGAUGGGCCCGCGUUGGAUUAGCUAGUUGGUAGGGUAAAAGCCUACCAAGGCGACGAUCCAUAGCUGGUCUGAGAGGAUGAUCAGCCACACUGGGACGGAGACACAGCCCAGAAUCCUACGGGAGGCAGGAGUGGGUAAUAUUGGACAAUGGGCGAAAGCCUGAUCCAGCAAUGCCGGGUGAGUGAUGAAGGCCGUAGGGUUGUAAAGCUCUUUUACCCGGGAUGAUAAUGACAGUACCGGGAGAAUAAGCACCGGCUAACUCCGUG
Molecule: ribosomal RNA, 433 nt
Filed under: uncultured bacterium
Lineage: Bacteria
Description: partial 16S ribosomal RNA
Rfam family: Bacterial small subunit ribosomal RNA
Source: RNAcentral